This is a long non-coding RNA of Passer domesticus (house sparrow), 6678 nucleotides long. RefSeq lists it as uncharacterized. The record is from RefSeq and is a predicted model, not a curated record. The transcript is spliced from 11 exons. Lineage: Eukaryota; Metazoa; Chordata; Aves; Passeriformes; Passeridae.
CAGCUUCUCCUGUGGAGCUGGAACAUCACAGAAAAGUGCUUGUGAGCAAAAAAUCAGUGCCAGGUGCUCCUUCCCAGUGCUGCCAGUGCUUCUACACCCUGGUCAUGACAUGAUUACUGCCACAGUACAUGGACAUCAGUCUCAGCUCUGGAGGGAGCUGGGAGGAGAUCCAUAACGCAUCCAUCUGCCUCCACAACAUUUCAGAGAGGAAGAAUUGUCCCUGGCACACAGCAAAGCCUUACUAUGCAAUCAUCUUAAGCCUUGAAGCAUGAAAUUUGAUUUUCUUUACCAUAGGCUACAAGACUGGACUGUCCAGAGGUUUGUGAGUGGGAAACACAAGUCAGUGGAACCCCUGCAAGACAGGAGGAACUCGAAUUACUGGUGGAGAUUGCUGGGUUAUCAGUUGGAGCAAAGCUGGAAGGAAACCUUGGCUAUGGUGUCUCCUCAGAACAGAGUGCACAGGAUUCAGGAAUCCAUUUCACUUUGGAUGGGGGAUUCCAGGUGGACUUUGAGGGUUGUUGGGUCUUUGUACAGCUGGAAACACAAGCCCCUCAAAUUCUGCACUCUCCUUUGGUGGAGCCACAGUUUCUGAACUGGGAAAAGGAGACACGACCAGGUCCUUCCCAGGGAGGGAGAGGAGGCACAAGGGGUGAGCUCAAGGCUCCUGCAGUGGAUCUGAGGCUUUGCAAAUCCCAAAGAUCCAGGCAAGCCUUGAGCCCCCCAGAGCCCCCUGCAGCCACUUGUCCCAAGGUGUCCUUUGCAGAGCAUGGCCUGUCCUGGCUGUGCUGGACCAGGACAGUGGUCAGGGAAGACACUAUGGAAGGACAAGUCACAGAGGAAGGGUAAAACCCCCACUUUUUAAAAGGUUUGUGUUGAUUCUGGCUUUUCUAGGAGUUUUUUCACAGCAGCAACACCAAACCUCUACAGGGACACAACUAAAAUCACAACAAACUGCAUAAGGGCAGAGAAGUAUGGAAGGAAACAGUUAAAACAGUUUUUCAGCCAAAGAAAAUGUCCAUAUGAUGACAUGGUCUUGAUAUAGAUGACCUUUUUUCAUUUUAUGAAGAUUUGUAGAUGUAAUAAGAAAAAGAGAAAAAAAAUCAGAUUUUAUGGUGACGGAGGGAAGACUGGAAAUGGAUCAAAAGUAUGUGCUGGGGGUUCAAAACAUAAGCCCAGAUAUUAAAGUAAUCCAGACUUGCCUGUAAAGUAUUUUGCAAUAGUAAAAUAAAUUCAAAACUUUUUAAUGAUGAGUGCUGGAAACUUGUUUUGGCAGAAUCAGUGCAUGAGAUUGCCAUGGAGAAGGCUGGGGAAAAUGUUUGGGCCCUUAUUAAAGCUGCAUGGACAUAAAUAGAUAUGCAGGAGUACAGCUUGAGGUAUAUGUUUCAUCCCAAUAUUGCCUGACUGGAAAUUGCCUCAGGGACACUUGAGAUGCACAGCAGCUUUCCCCAGGCUGCCAUGCCUCCUGCAGGCUCAAUUUGCCACCUGUGGCCACACUGAGAGUGAAUCAAAUUCUUCCAGAAAUAAUUACACACAGUCCUGAAAACGGUUGUUUGCAGUCCACAAAGAAAAGCAGAUGUGAACACAGGGUUUGUCCAAACUCCCUUUCCAAGCACCACUUCCAGCCUGCUGAGGAGGCACUUUUUUGUUUUGAAAGAGCUGAGCCAAGCCCCAGUAUUACAGAACUGAAGCUCCUGAGAGCCAGCGCUGUUGUAACAGCCUCCAUAGGCCCAGAGAUCUUUCACUGCUCAUGAUGGAGUGCAUGGAAAGAGAAGAAAAUUCCCUCUGACCUCAUGAUUUCUUGGUAAAUCUGGCUGAUGGCUGCACCCUCCUGAGAGCAACAGGCUGACAGGUCCCCACAGGGAAGGAAUGCAAUGAGAAGCAGAUUGCUUAAAAACCCUACUAAUCAGGUAAUCCUUGAACAUGGUGCUGCUUCAGACCUGCAGUCUCCAUAUCUGUAUGGAUGUAGAGGUCUAUUCUAUUCCAUGAAUGAAUGCACACUCCUACCUAAACCUGCACACAGACAUUCAAAUAUAUGUAUGUAUUACAGACCUAAUUCCUUCCAGUAUAUGGUAAUCCUGGUUUGGUGCACUUAGCAAAACUUUGAUUUAUUGCCCUUUGAAUACUCUGAUGACAUUCAUCCCCAGAUGGAGUUCUGCUAUAGCUGAGACAAAUAUGUGUUUUGCCUGUAGGACACCUGCUAUUACACUUUCUUACUGUGGAGAAUGUUCAUUUUUCAAGCAAAUACUGUUCACUCUUUGGUAAGCAUGUAGCUCUCCAAAAUUCUUGUCAGGUUACUUUGCUGUUUCUGACAGCCUGGAGCAGAGGUUUGGUGUAUGUUUAAUGUGUAUUUACACUGACCUGGAGAAUUUGUAGUUCUUGUAAAACAUCUUGAAUUUACCUCUUUCUUUUUCUCAUCUUUAUGUCACUAGAAGGUGUAAUAUCCAACUUGGCUUCCAAAGUUUCUCACCUAAUUUCUGCAUUUUGGUGGAGUCUCAGCUGUUACAGUGUGCAAAAGUCUUGUAAGUCUUGUAAGGGUAAGAAAAAGUGAGCAGGGUGUAAGAGUUGGGUGAUCCUAGAUAUUUAUCUAACAAGAUAUUAAUCUUUUGAGCAGAAAUGUUCAUGUGCAGGAAGCUUUAGCUGAAGUAAAUAGAAAGGCUUUAGGCUGUGCUCAGAUUAAGACACUAUUUGUUCACCCAGCAGUAUCAGUGCUGACAGAGCUGUGUAGCUGCAGAAGGAUUUGUGCUUUAUCCUGACACAGGCAGCACCAGCCAAAAGGUCAGCCAGUGGUCAUAUCAUGGAGCUGAAUGAUUUCACAGACUGAACCUUUGUGCCCCAAGGAGCACAGAGGUUUUUAAGAUCUACCUGUGCUAUUAGAUUUCAUAUACAGAUUUCAUUUUUCUCUGAAGACUACAUUAAUUGGAAUGAACAUUCCUGUUUAUAUAAGGGCAGAAAAGGAAGAUAUCACCAUGCUGGAAAGCCUCACCUGACUUUUCUGGGCUGAUACUGUGCCUCCAGGGUAUUGCUGUGACUGUGAACAUAACAAGGGGCAUCUUCCUUUACUGUCUGCACAGACCAGGAUUUGCAAUGACUGUCAUAUGAUGGGAAGUGUUGGGUUUUGAGAUUCUGCUUCAGAAAUGAAUAAUUGUUGUAAGUUUUCAGUGUUCUCUACAUUUUAUAAAAUCAGAAAAAGUUAUUUAAAAUAUUGUGUCUGUAUAAACAUCUUUAAAGGAGCCACUGCAAGGUUUCUUUUCUUGGCUUUAUUUUUCCUGUGUUCCUGCUGAAUGGUUGAUAAACCCUUUAAAAUUGUGUAGAAAAUAAUUUGGGAAAAGUAUUAGAUUUGCAUUAGGCGUGAAUUUAGUCUCACAUUAAUGAUGUGCUGCCAACUAUUUAGAUGACAUUUACAAAAGAAGUAAAUGCCGCUGGCUCAGUGCCAGAAAAACUGGAAGUAAGAGCAAGAAAACAUGUGUCUCCCCUGAGGAUGAACAACAUAAAACAUGGCCCAGCUCCAAAGUUCUGUAAGUGUGAGGCAAGGUGCAGAACCCAGGCAGGCGGGAUGCAGGAGAAGGAUUUUGGGAUCCAGCUGUGUCAGGCACACCUGGCUCAGGCACAGCCCCAGGAGCACUCGCUGCUGCUCCAGCUGAGGGUGGGAGGUGGGAAAUAGGGCACAGGGGCAAGCAGGGGACGUGGUCACAGCCUCACUCACUGCCCUGCCUUGCCAAGCCCCACACAGUCAGAUGUUUUAUGACAUCUGAGAAAACACCACUGGAAAAAAAAUGUUUUAUGUGGCCCAGACUGUUUUUCAUGCAUUCAAUUUCAUGCAAGCAGGAAUAUGACUCUUGCUGGCUUAAAAAUAGGGUUGUAAGUCCUUUGAAGCAUUUUUUCCCCACUUUUUUUUUUCAUCAGAAAAAAGACUUUGUAUUCUGUGAAAGGCACAGGAGCCUGCUAGACAAAGUGGGAACAACCCCCCCCCCCCUUAGAAUAUUUCAAAAGCAAUGCUGCUGUGAUCAAUAAAUGAGAGAACAGGGGCAGAAAAUGGAUUGCAGGUCAAAAGAAUAUGAAAGAAAGGCAAACAGGAAUAAAAAAAGGAACCUGGACUUUUGCUGGCUAAAUCAAAUUUCAAACACACACAUAACCUAUAGACAAAUAAAAAUGUGUUUAUACAUCAGAAUGGAGGAUGUGAGUUCUGCUGUUUAUCUUGAAGAAGAACAGCAGCAGCAGUGCAGAUUUGUCCACUCUUCAGCACCAGCAGAUGUGGUCACCAUUAAUAAUUUGGCAGAAAUGGAGUACAAGGAGAUGACCCUCACAACCCACGGACACACAGAAGUCUCCUGCCUUGAAAACAAUCAAAAAUCAGACUGGAAAUGCUCAGAAAUACAAAACCAGUGGUCCUGGGAAAAAUAAAGUAAGUCAUAGGUAUAUUUCACUUUAUUUAUUUGUUCUUCAUUUUGAUAGCACAUCUCAAAUUACACUUGGUAAUGAGAUCUUACAAAUCUUUCCCCUGCUCUGGGACAAAAAGCAAAAACCACUCAUGCAUAAGGUAUUGAAUGCAUUCACAUCAAGUAUGUUGUAUGUUGGGCUUUUGAACAUCAUAAAUAUGAGAACAUUAAACCAACUGGUAUUGGAAUUUUUUAACAAUAUCAUUGUUACAGAUCACAGCAGCUUAAAAGGUUUAACUCAAGUUUACUUAUUUCCAAUAUUUUUACUUGUAAAAGUUUCCAGUAAAGUUUGAUAAGAGGUUAAAAAAUAUAGAGGCCCAAAUACUACAAAAUAAUGUUUUAAAUAUGAAGCAUUUCUAUUUAGUUUGUAAGUUUUAAAACUCCCAAUGGUUUUUCUGCUUUGACUGGGAAUGCGGUUCUGAAAUUACUUAGAUGAAGGUUAUGAAAUUCAUUUAUUUGUGAUUUUUAUCCAUCAUGAAACCUCUUGAAAGAGGUCUGGGCUUCCAGAAAUGUUGAACACCCAUCCUUUAAGAGGUCCUCAGCUAGAGACACAAAAUCUCCAUUUAUUCCUGCAAAUAUAAGCCAAAACACUGGGGACCCACUAAUUAGAGUUCUCAGGUCUAAGAAAGCAGGAUAAGAAUGAGUAUAGAUUCUGUUAUGCAAGUUGAUUUUGCUGCUUUUUUUUUUUUUAAGCUGUCACCUGAAUGCUUUGAUAGCCAUCAGGAACAAGUUAUUUUUGCAAUAGAGGGAUAGAGUCUAAUUGUAGAAGGGGAAGAAAAACUACCUACAGAAGCCAAGAUCAUGAUAAGAAAACAAAUUUAUUGAACAUCUUUUCUGAAAAGACUCUACCAUGCACAGGUGAAAUAUUGCUACAAACACUUGUUCUGAUCCUACAUCAUGCCUUAAACUGCUUUUUGAAAUAACCAGGGGAUGAAGGUGCAAGAUGAACCCAAGGAAACACUUGGGGAUGUACAAAAACACAGGAACAAAUCCAGGUGUUGUAACAUGGAUUAAUCUUAAUCCCUGGCUACCAGGCAUCUGCUUUCUGUAUAACCCUGAGUCAGUUCCUAGGAGCUUGUAGCAACACAGCUGGAAACAACCCUAAACUUUCAAUCUGGGACAUGGGGACUGUUUGCAAAGGAGGACAAAGCACAGGAGGAGGAAAGCUGGGUUGGGACUAACUCGGUUCAAGGGUUACACUGAAUUUAAAAAGCCAGCUCUCUGUCUUUUUAGAACAGGAAUUCAGACCUCUUUUUUUGCAUGUUGUAGGAUCCCUCAGGUGUCUCUGCAGCUCUCAGGUAUUAAACCACAAAGCUGCAAGAUCAAAGUAGUCCAGAUGCUCUGACAGAAGUAGGUAAGAGCGUGCAUCACAUCCACGUGGUGCUGAGAUCUCGGCCAUCGCACCGGCUGCUGACGGCUUCGUAAACACGUUCACUCCAGUUAUAAACUUACUUAUUUCUUGUGCCAAGACUUCAAUGUGCUUCAGUGCAUGAAGGAAAUUUACAACCCACUCCAGGAAUAUAUGUAUGUAUAUAUAUUCCAGCUCUCCCUUUCAUUUCAGUGAAAAAAAAAACAAAAAACAAACCAGCAGCAAUUAUAUUUUAGAUUUGUAACAGAUAUUUAUAACUUAGCUAUAAACAAAUGCUGAGCUAAAGCUUUGCAGAAAGCUCUCAGGAAAACUAAUUAUUAUAAGAUUUAUAGGAAUAUUAACCAUUUUUUUUCCAGUACCACAGUUAUACUAUGAUAUAUAAUCAUAGUAUAUCUACAUAUUAUACUAAUGACCAUGACUAGAUAUAAAUUGUAUCAUUUCUGACACUGGUUUACUCUUUUAAGUGGGAAAUACAAGAAGAAGCCUAUUGUUAUAACUCAGUGCAGUGAUUUUUUUUAAACUAUUUUAGUAAUAGGUUAAGAUCAGGUAAAUAUAAAGGGAAAGGACUCUGGGGAAGAUUAGUAACUUGUUUUUUGACUAGAUAUAACUUUGGUUGCUGUCUGUUCAAAGCAUACAAUCUAUGAAGUUUUAUUUAUGGGGAAAAGGAGGAAAGCUUAAAUCCAGAUAAAACGUUUUAAUUCCUCUGUGGUGUUAAUUUGGUUUCUUGAUCAAAAUUUAUUCUGAUUCAGAUUGUCACUUGGUUGCUCUAAUUCCACCAAGUCUUUGUAAAUGCUAAAUGGAAGAAGAAUCUGGGCCACUGUUGAAAAAGCUUUGCCUUGUGAUCUCCGUGUGAACUAUGCUGGGAAUGAGUUU